UUUGAACAAGUAUGUAAUCCUGCGGCCUCUUAUUAUAGGCUUCUUAGAACUGACAAAUUUGACUGUUUAUGUCAUUACAAAGGAAUUCCUUCCAGACACUGUAGCCAAGGGAAAAAGAUUCUUUGUACAUUUCUUAUCAGUAAAAGGUAACUUUUAGAAAAGAUAACAAAGUGAGUUCUGGUGGUACCUAGUACAUCCUUGCAUAAUCCUCAUUAGAGGUCAUCUUAGUUGGCUCCACAAUGUCCAAGAACUCAGUCUUUUGCAAGAGCUAAACAUAGAAUGAAUGGUCACAUUGUUCUCUCUCUAGUCAAUACAAAACCUUAUUUUUCCAAUUUUUCUUGGCAAUAAAAAAAAUAGUGUCUUGUGGGGUACAAGCUUAUACUCUCAAAUCACUUAUGGAUCAUAUUUUCCCUUGGAAACAUAUCAAAGCACUGUCAGCUCCCCUCAGGGGGUCAUGUUAAAGAAUGUCUUCAAAUCCAUUUCACUAUUAUACAGGGUGCAGCAGAGCCUACUCAGUGAAGAAUGCAGUGAGGCGAGUCUCAUGAGACCCACACUAACUCCCCAGUUCCUACAACCAGAACAUUGUGGAAAUGUGAACCAGGUUGUACAGUAGAGAAAACUCUCAGCGAGUUCACCAUCCUCUGUGUCCUGCUCAGUCCCUUUCAGUAACCGUUCAAGAAAUCCAGCUCAGUAGAAACCUUGGUAGGAAAAAUCAGUUGCCACUGAUAUCCUGUUAUUUUCAAUCCUCCCUCACA
Molecule: long non-coding RNA, 755 nt
Filed under: Marmota monax (woodchuck)
Lineage: Eukaryota; Metazoa; Chordata; Mammalia; Rodentia; Sciuridae
Source: RNAcentral